Non-coding RNA from Pelobates cultripes (western spadefoot toad), 345 nucleotides. NCBI's taxonomy places the organism in Eukaryota, Metazoa, Chordata, Amphibia, Anura, Pelobatidae. The record is from the annotation of a GenBank genome assembly.
UUAUAUAUUUAUAUAUUUUUUUAAAUGGGGUAGCCCCCAAAAUAUUGGGACAUAUAAAAAAAGACAACUCUGUUCCGCAGAGUAGGUGUUAACAUUAUAGUUGCUCAGGCACUUUGUUGACUCUGGAGAACCUCGGGCCAAGAGCACAUCCCCGUGACGGCGACUUUGCAUUUUGGAUGUCAUCCAUAUCAACUUUCGAUAGCAGUUUCUGCGCCUACCAUGGUGACCACGGGUAACGGGAAAUCAGGGUUCCAUUUCAUACAGGGACCCUGAGAAACGUCUACCACAUUCAAGGAAGGCAGCAAGCGCAAAUGACCCACUCCCUACGUGGGAAGGUAGUAACAA